RNAcentral lists this ribosomal RNA (238 nucleotides) under uncultured bacterium. Its description in RNAcentral is "partial 16S ribosomal RNA". It matches the Rfam family "Bacterial small subunit ribosomal RNA", at positions 15 to 230 of the family's 1533-position model. The record is from RNAcentral.
GAUCCUGGCUCAGGACGAACGCUGGCGGCGUGCUUAACACAUGCAAGUCGAACGAAGAGCGAUGGAAGCUUGCUUCUAUCAAUCUUAGUGGCGAACGGGUGAGUAACGCGUAAUCAACCUGCCCUUCAGAGGGGGACAACAGUUGGAAACGACUGCUAAUACCGCAUACGAUCUAACCUCGGCAUCGAGGAAAGAUGAAAGGUGGCCUCUAUUUAUAAGCUAUCACUGAAGGAGGGGA